GAAUCAACGCUGGCGGCGUGCCUAACACAUGCAAGUCGAGCGAGAAAGUGUAGCAAUACAUGAGUAAAGCGGCGCACGGGUGAGUAACACGUGGGUAAUCUGCCCUCGAGUGGGGAAUAACACCGGGAAACCGGUGCUAAUACCGCAUACGAUCACGAUGUCUUCGGAUUUUGUGAUGAAAGGAGCAAUUCGCUCUUGGAGGAGCCCGCGGCUGAUUAGCUAGUUGGUGAGGUAAUGGCUCACCAAGGCAACGAUCAGUAGCCGGUCUGAGAGGACGGUCGGCCACACAGGAACUGAGACACGGUCCAGACUCCUACGGGAGGCAGCAGUGGGGAAUUUUUCGCAAUGGGGGCAACCCUGACGAAGCAACGCCGCGUGGAUGAUGAAGUAUCUCGGUACGUAAAAUCCUUUCGACGGGGAAGAAAACCGCAAGGUUUGACGGUACCCGUAGAAGAAGCCCCGGCUAACUCCGUGCCAGCAGCCGCGGUAAUACGGGGGGGGCAAGCGUUGUUCGGAAUUACUGGGCGUAAAGGGCGCGUAGGCGGUUCGCUAAGUUGAAUGUGAAAACUCUGGGCUUAACCCAGAGCCUGCAUUCAAUACUGGCGGGCUAGAGUUCUGGAGGGGAUA
RNAcentral lists this ribosomal RNA (627 nucleotides) under uncultured soil bacterium. RNAcentral describes it as "bacterial SSU rRNA". It matches the Rfam family "Bacterial small subunit ribosomal RNA", at positions 27 to 660 of the family's 1533-position model. The record is from RNAcentral.